This 1084-nucleotide long non-coding RNA is filed under the name Anolis carolinensis (green anole). RNAcentral describes it as "lncRNA (ENSACAG00000035212.1)". The record is from RNAcentral. Lineage: Eukaryota; Metazoa; Chordata; Lepidosauria; Squamata; Anolidae.
AUGAACCUUGAGGCAAGGCUUUUGUGUUGUGUUGUCAAGUUUGAUGUUUCUGGGGUGCAUAGUUGUGUUGUUAUAGUCAAGGCGCAAAUAACUUUUCCUUUAUAUAUAUAUACUAGCUGUGCCCGGCCACGCGUUGCUGUGGCGAAGUCUGGUGGUAUGGGAAAUAAAGUAUUGAGGAUUGGUGGUAGUUAAGGUAAAGGGUAAAGGUUUUCCCUGACAUUAAGUCCAUUAUAAAUGGGUUAUAUAGCUGUGUGGAAGGGCCUUGAGUCUACACUGCCAUAUAAUCCAGUUAAAAUCUGAUAAUCUGUAUUUUAUAGGCAGUGUGGAAGAGGCCUAAGUGAGACCUAACUCUGCCUGUCCCCUGGGCUGAGUGGGUUGCUAGGAGACCAAGUGGGCGGAGCUUAGCCUUCUAACUGGCAGCAAUUGGAUAAAAACAAUUAUUCCUCUCCCUCUAAUUAGGACUUUAUUUUUCUUUUCUUUUUGUUGUAUGAACGUAAAGGCAUGGAUGAGGGAUUGUGCUGCCAAGUUUAGUGUUUCUGGGAUGUGUAGUUUUGUUGUUUUGUCCUAGGCCGAAAUUUCAUGACCCUUUUAUAUAUAUAGAUAAUACUAAUAAUAAUACCAUAUAAUAAUAUUAAUUAUAUGUUAUAUAUUACAUAUAAUAUUACAGUAUAGUGGUAUAGUUCGAUAUAGUAAUAUAUAAUGCUAAUAUUGUGCUAUGCUAAUAAUAUAAUAUAUUGUAUGUACAUACAGCUGCUCUGAGUCCCCUUCGGGGUGAGAAGGGCGGGCUAUAAAUGUAGUAAAUAAAUGUGGUAAAUGAAUAAAUAAAUAAUUUUAGACUUAGGCUCGCCCAGUUUAGGCACACAACAACAACAAUCCUAAUUAACUUGACUAUCUCAUUGGCCAGAAUCAGGCCCACACUUCCUAUUGAAAGCCUGAUAGGUUUAUGUUGGUUAAAAUUGUUUUAAUUUUUUAAAUAUUGUAUUGUUCUUUCAUUGUUAUUGUUGUUUUGCACUACAAAGAAGACACGUGCAGUGCAAUAGGAAUUUGUUCAUUUUUUUCCCCAAAUGAUAAUUCGGCCUCUCAA